UAUUGGGGUUUCAUUGUUAACCUUUGCAAAAUGCUCAAGCAUUGGUUUUACGAUCCGAAAUGCAUAUGUGCCACAUUGUUCCCCUAGUUUUUCGAGCAACUAGCAAAAUUGAGAGACAAUCGUUAAGAUAAUUAACUAUUAUCGAACUCAUGUUUUGAACUUUAGCCCAAUCUACUCACUGAUUCAUUCUCGGUCGAAGAUUCUUUUGGCCAAGCCACAGACAAAGUAGCUAUUAAAAUCACAAACACUUUGAAAUUUAUUAACAUUUUUCUUGAGUAUAUAAUAAUUUUUUUUACGUAAUGUAAUGUUUUAAACUCACGGACAACAUCGAAUGUCACCGACUUCACAGACAGCGCCUUUAAAUAGUAGGCUAAUGUCGAGAUUCCAAGAAAUGUUGUGCAAUGUUGUAUUAUCAACAUGUAAUAUCAGUUCAAUAUAUAUAUAUUAGCAAUGUUAUCAUACAGGUGAAAUAGGUCAAAAGUGAAGAGCCUUGGCCUGAUAAAAUAGAUUUGCUAUUGAGAAAAUAUAUUGAAAGAAAAAAAUAACAUUGCCAUCGAUAAGGGAGAACGGAAAAACAAAAAUUUAAAAGUUAAUUAAAAACUCAUCAGAUAAAUGAUAACUGGAGCCCAGUGGCCAGUGCCUGGGCCCGGGCAUUAUUAUGACGGCAAGACGACGAACAUCAUAUCUAGUGAGCUGCAGCGGCAAAGAGCUGGCCCAUUGGCCAGUUAACGUAUUCAUAACUAUAUUUAUCAGCCAUCAAAAAUCAAUUGCACACACAAAAAGAGCGUAAAGCUGCGGCUGCAAUGGACCGGUAUCUGGUCUCAGUGGGUCUUCAUCCUGGCUUUCCGAGCUUUCCAGCUACCUCGCUUCCCCUUACUUCGGUCUGUGAGGCGUUCAAAUUGCGCUUGUUAACAUUUUUGACCGCCUGCUGGGGGCCUCACAGUGCAGUCGACGUCGCUGUCGCCGUCGACGUCGCCGAAAAAGCCAACAAACCGAACGUGUUACGCAUAAUAAUUUUCGCAGUGCGUCCAACAUUCGUAUAAAUAUUUCAACGGUUCGGUGGAUGUGCCCGCUGCUGCUGCUGGUGGAGCUGGUGGUGCUGGUGGUGCUGGUGGUGGUGCGUUGACUGCUGCUGUGGUUCAUCAUCAAAUACAUACAGUUUAUCUUGGAGCCGCAUCGCUCACGCUCAGUUCCGAGAGCAAGAGACAACAAACAGGCUGAUAAGACAAAUACACUUAGAGAAAUUCUGGUGAUAUGAAAACUUGAAUCUUCAAAAGUAUUGGUUUUCAUUAAGUUUUGUCUUCAGAGAUCUUUGGAUGGAACCAGUUGGAAUUGGAAAUUUCUUCAAAAGGUGUUGCAGAGGCGGCCAUUGUGUAAAGAGUUUGAGUCUGAAAAAGGAUGGGAAAGGGUUUUGAAAAUUCUAAGCUGCGUGCUCUGUUUGGCAAAGGUUAACCCUCUACGCCACUUUAUCGAUUUCAAUGAACGAAAAUUGCUGCAUCUGAGCCGGCGCCCUCACGCUUGUGGGUUUUGAAUCUGACAUAAAAUAACAAUUCUGUGUCCUCCGUCAUAUACCAAAGCUAACACGAUAAGGAAAACAUAGAGAUCUACUAUAGAAAUAUAUAAAUAAAGGUUCAGUUCAGUUCAGGAAAAAGGAUUCGAGCCCGUGAACCGCUUGCUGUAUGACGUUCGUUCCUACAAUUACUCUAGAAAGUUGGAAACACUUUCGAAAAUAGAAAUUCGAUUAGGAAUCACAACACCUGAAAAUUCAGUAAACAAAUUGGGACUAUCUUAUAUAUUUUUUCAAGAUCAAAGAAUUUAAAAGCAGUAUUCAAUCCCACGACCUUUACUAGUUUAAAAUUGCUUCUUGCAGGAUCGACUUUAAUAUACUUUAGUUAUGCCCAUUUAUAGUCUAUAAAGUCGGAUAUAAAAUAAAACACGCAAUAAUUAUAAGAUAUACUCGUAUAUGUAUUAGUUUAAGUGCAUUUUGUAAUUU
Drosophila montana is the source of this 1993-nucleotide long non-coding RNA. RefSeq lists it as uncharacterized. The transcript is spliced from 8 exons. NCBI's taxonomy places the organism in Eukaryota, Metazoa, Arthropoda, Insecta, Diptera, Drosophilidae. The record is from RefSeq and is a predicted model, not a curated record.